UACGGAGGGAGCGAACGUUGUUCGGAUUUACUGGGCGUAAAGGGUGUGUAGGCGGUCUUGCAAGUCAGGGGUGAAAUCUCUCGGCUCAACCGAGAAACUGCCUUUGAGACUGCAGGACUUGAGGGCGUGAGAGGAGACUGGAAUUCCUAGUGUAGCGGUGAAAUGCAUAGAUAUUAGGAGGAACACCAGUGGCGAAGGCGGGUUGCUGGGCUGAUACUGACGCUGAGGCGCGAAAGCCAGGGGAGCGAACGGG
RNAcentral lists this ribosomal RNA (253 nucleotides) under uncultured bacterium. RNAcentral's name for it is "partial 16S ribosomal RNA". It matches the Rfam family "Bacterial small subunit ribosomal RNA", at positions 524 to 776 of the family's 1533-position model. The record is from RNAcentral.